GCAAGUCCUCAACGUAAACCUUCUUAGCACCCACCUUCAAGGCCUUUUCACGGGCUGCAUCCCAAUCUUCCUCUUGACCAACAUUAGCCAUAUAGCAGAUGACCUCCCAACCUUCUUCAAUAAGCCAGGCGAGGAUACAGGAGGUGUCAAGACCACCUGAAUAGGCGAGAACGCAACGUUUUACUUCUUGGGGCAUUUCUUUCUUUUUCUUGAGGUGUAGUAUAUGUUAAGUUAGUAGGCCCAACCUUUUAAACUGAUAGCGCACUGAUGUAAUAAUAUAGCCGACACUAUUUUUUACUAUCUUUCUCAUCAAUAAACCAUCUUUAUAGAUAAACGAUGGAAAUUUUACACACAUCUGAAAAUUUUUCUUAGUAUAGGAAUUCUUAACAAAAAUUUAAUUGAGAAAUGUGUGAAAACAGGUUUCGGUUAAAUUACAUGCAGGAAUCGUAAAUAUCUUGUCACACAUGCAUUGAUUAGUGUGUCUGAAUUUAGUUUUGAGGAAGAAAGUGAUACAAUCAUAUCAGGGACAGUCAAACAAUAGUUCUGAUGGUUUCAGGUUUUUAAAGAUUGAUGUUUACUUGAAUAUGUUUUGCGAUAAAUCCUUGUAAUCUUGUUGUUUCAAGCACUUACAUUGUUCUAACAAAAAGAAGGUUGGGCAAUUUCACAACAAAUAACAAUUUUAAUACUUUGGGGAAAUGAAAAAGCAAAAUAAAGGAUAAGUAAUGUAUUAACAUACAAAUGGCAAGCACAUGUUAGUCGGUUGAUUGAACGAAAAAAUAUACAACAGUGAUAAAUGAAAUUAUGUAACAGC
This is a non-coding RNA of Schizosaccharomyces pombe (fission yeast), 811 nucleotides long. NCBI's taxonomy places the organism in Eukaryota, Fungi, Ascomycota, Schizosaccharomycetes, Schizosaccharomycetales, Schizosaccharomycetaceae. The record is from the annotation of a GenBank genome assembly.